RNAcentral lists this ribosomal RNA (207 nucleotides) under uncultured bacterium. RNAcentral's name for it is "partial 16S ribosomal RNA". It matches the Rfam family "Bacterial small subunit ribosomal RNA", at positions 568 to 774 of the family's 1533-position model. The record is from RNAcentral.
CGUGUAGGCGGGUCGACAAGUUGGAUGUGAAAUGCACCGGCUCAACUGGUGCGCUGCAACCAAAACUGCCGAUCUUGAGUGUUGGAGAGGAUAGUGGAAUUCCUAGUGUAGCGGUAAAAUGCGUAGAUAUUAGGAGGAACACCAGUGGCGAAGGCGGCUAUCUGGACCGAUAUCGACGCUGAGACGCGAAAGCGUGGGUAGCAAACA